CAGGAUGAACGCUAGCGACAGGCUUAACACAUGCAGGUCGAGGGGCAGCGCGGAGGUGGCAACACUCUGGCGGCGACCGGCGCACUGGUGAGUAACACGUAUGCGACCUGCCCCGGACAGGGGGAUAAACCCGGGAAACUGGGCCUAAUACCCCAUAUGCCGAGGGGAUGCAUGUCCCCGCGGUGAAAGAUCCGUCGGUCCGGGAUGGGCAUGCGGCGCAUUAGCUUGUUGGCGGGGCAACGGCCCACCAAGGCGACGAUGCGUAGGGGUUCUGAGAGGAAGGUCCCCCACACUGGUACUGAGACACGGACCAGACUCCUACGGGAGGCAGCAGUGAGGAAUAUUGGGCAAUGGGCGAAAGCCUGACCCAGCAACGCCGCGUGAGUGAAAAAGGCCUUCGGGUUGUAAAGCUCUGUUAUAGGGGACGAAGGAAGUGACGGUACCCUAUAAGGAAGCCCCGGCUAACUACGUGCCAGCCGCCGC
Molecule: ribosomal RNA, 483 nt
Filed under: uncultured bacterium
Lineage: Bacteria
Description: bacterial SSU rRNA
Rfam family: Bacterial small subunit ribosomal RNA
Source: RNAcentral